Molecule: long non-coding RNA, 1348 nt
Filed under: Canis lupus dingo (dingo)
Lineage: Eukaryota; Metazoa; Chordata; Mammalia; Carnivora; Canidae
Description: lncRNA (ENSCAFG00020027008.1)
Source: RNAcentral
UCGUGCCCCACCCCCACCAACCUCUGGCCAGACACUUCCCUCCCCUUGAGCACCACCUUGUUCCUUAAACUGAUCAUACCUCUUCCUGCCACGGGGCCUUUGCACGUGCUGUUCCCUCUUCCUGCUGCAGGUUUCCCUUGACGCAUCCUCACCUGGCUCCUGCCUUCUUGUUCCUCAGAUCUUAGCUUCACCUCACCAACUUUUGUUGGCUGCCUGCUGUCCUGCAAACACUGUAGAGUGCUUUGCAUGGGUUUUCUUUUGUAGUCCUUGCACCAGACCCUGAGUCGGGUGGCCCUGUAAUUCUCACACACGCUUUCUAUGAAUUAGCCAGUGACUUGUGGAGUCAGGGUUCAAACCCAGGCUCCAUGCCCAACCUCCUUUCCCCCUGACCUCCCUCCCCUCACCAGACACCAGCCUCCCUCCCUGCUUCCCCUCCUCCCUGCCCCCCAGCCCCUCGCAGAGGCCCCCCCUAACAGGUGGGAACUCCUGGUGGUCUAAAGGUCUGUCCUCCCCAUCAGAUUAGCUGCUCACUGCAGGCAGGCUCCAGGUCCAACUGAUCCCUCGCUCCUCCCCAUCAGGAUUCAGAACUGCCCUGGCUGUGUGGAAUGAGUGAGUGAAUGAAUGAAUAGGUGGUCAGCACUGACCCUGGGUCACUCUGUCCUGUGACAGAGUCUAAGUAUCUGGUUCUGCUCAUUGGAAGAAUGCACCAGGCCAGCAGGCAGAGGAGGCACCCACCUGGUGUUGAGGUUGUUGGGGAAGGAGGAGUGACUUCGAACAUCACAGAGCCCUCCAUGUGCCACAUACUUUCUCAGGGACCAGUGUAGAACCUCCAUGCGGGACACAUCACUGCUAGGAUUCUGAAGACAGGGAACCAGAGCCCAGAGAUAAAGGCUCAAACCGAUUAUAACGGUAAUCAUGUAUGAAGAGAAGGAUAUUUUCCCUGUUAGCUUUAAAUUUCAUUUUAAUAUUUAGUAUUUAUUAACAUUUGAAAUCCAGUCUCCUAGAGUACGGACUUCAGUUAACUUAGCUGAUUCUAAUUACUUGUUUUCGCAUUUGUUUGUCAUUUAGCUUUUCAGUAUUUUUAUUCUUUAUCUUUUUAACUGGCUAAAUAAUAGAAUUUUUCUUUUAUUAUUAUUUCUCAGCCCCCUUUUUCCAGGAACAAUCAAUACUGAUCUUCACUUAUGGACGUAGUGUGUGCAUUUAUGUGCCAACAUUGCAUAGGCGGUGAUUAAUCCAAAAAACUCUCACAAAACCAGAGCCAGUGAGUUCUGCAAAACAUGAGAAUGUAUUAUUUUAAAUGCUUUUAUCUUGUGAAAUGUAAUAGAUCCACAGAAAAACUCUAUAAUGU